GUGCACCAGUCGAGAAUAGUCUACAAUGGACGAAAGUCUGAUAGUGCGACGCCGUGUGUGCGAUUAAUUCCUUCGGGAUGUAAAGCACUUUUCUAUGAGAUAAAAGCUCUUUAGGUUAAUAGCUUAUUGAGACGGAUAUUAUUAUAGGAAUAAGCUCCGGCUAACUCCGUGCCAGCAGCCGCGGUAAUACGGAAGGAGCGAGCGUUGUCCGGAUUUACUAGGCGUAAAGGGCUAGUAGGCGACUAAUUAAGUUAUAUGUUAAAUCCCACGGCUCAACUGUGGUCCUGCAUGUAAUACUGGUUAGAUAGAGUACUGUAGAGGAAGGCAGAAUUCCUGGAGUAGCGGUGGAAUGCGCAGAUAUCAGGAAGAAUACCAAAAGCGAAGGCAGCCUUCUGGGCAGUUACUGACGCUGAAUAGCGAAGGUGUGGGUAGCGAACAGGAAUUAGAC
This 448-nucleotide ribosomal RNA is filed under the name uncultured microorganism. RNAcentral describes it as "bacterial SSU rRNA". It matches the Rfam family "Bacterial small subunit ribosomal RNA", at positions 346 to 783 of the family's 1533-position model. The record is from RNAcentral.